Molecule: ribosomal RNA, 706 nt
Filed under: uncultured Olsenella sp.
Lineage: Bacteria; Bacillati; Actinomycetota; Coriobacteriia; Coriobacteriales; Atopobiaceae
Description: bacterial SSU rRNA
Rfam family: Bacterial small subunit ribosomal RNA
Source: RNAcentral
UCGAACGGUUAAAGCACCUUCGGGUGUGUAUAGAGUGGCGAACGGCUGAGUAACACGUGGGCAACCUGCCCUUUGCAUCGGGACAGCCUCGGGAAACCGUGGUUAAUACCGGAUACUCCAUCUUUCUCACAUGAAAAAGAUGGGAAAGUGUUUAGCGGCAAGGGAUGGGCCCGCGCCCUGUUAGCUUGUUGGUGGGGUAAAAGCCUACCAAGGCAAUGAUGGGUAGCCGGGUUGAGAGACCGACCGGCCAGAUUGGGACUGAGACACGGCCCAGACUCCUACGGGAGGCAGCAGUGGGGAAUCUUGCACAAUGGGCGAAAGCCUGAUGCAGCGACGCCGCGUGCGGGAUGAAGGCCUUCGGGUUGUAAACCGCUUUCAGCAGGGACGAGGCGAAAGUGACGGUACCUGUAGAAGAAGCCCCGGCUAACUACGUGCCAGCAGCCGCGGUAAUACGUAGGGGGCAAGCGUUAUCCGGAUUCAUUGGGCGUAAAGCGCGCGUAGGCUGCCCAGUAGGUCGAGAGUUAAAUCCGGGGGCUCAACCCCCGUCCGCUCCCGAUACCGCUGGGCUUCGAGUCUGGUAGGGGAAGGUGGAAUUCCCAGUGUAGCGGUGGAAUGCGCAGAUAUUGGGAAGAACACCGGUGGCGAAGGCGGCCUUCUGGGCCAUGACUGACGCUGAGGCGCGAAAGCUAGGGGGGCGAACAGGAUU